CCCUUAGAUGUCCUGGGCCGCACGCGCGCCACACUGAGUGUCUGAGAUACGAGUCUGCCUGGUCCGGCAAGGUCUAGGUAAUCGCUAAAAGACACAUCGUGCUUGGGAUAGAUUAUUGCAAAUAUUAAUCUUGAACGAGGAAUUCCUAGUAAGCGCAAGUCAACAGCUUGCGUUGAUUACGUCCCUGCCCUUUGUACACACCGCCCGUCGCUACUACUGAUUGGAUGUUUAAGCGAGGUUCUCGAACUGCUAGCGACUUAGCUUCGGUGAGGUCGCAGUGUGGGAAGUGAACCUAGCUUUGGUGUCUAGAGGAAGUAAAAGUCGUAACA
This 329-nucleotide ribosomal RNA is filed under the name uncultured eukaryote. RNAcentral describes it as "partial 18S ribosomal RNA". It matches the Rfam family "Eukaryotic small subunit ribosomal RNA", at positions 1470 to 1796 of the family's 1831-position model. The record is from RNAcentral.